UAGUCCACGCCGUAAACGAUGAUCACUCGCUGUUGGCGAUACAUAGUCAGCGGCCAAGCGAAAGCAUUAAGUGAUCCACCUGGGGAGUACGUUCGCAAGAAUGAAACUCAAAGGAAUUGACGGGGGCCCGCACAAGCGGUGGAACAUGUGGUUUAAUUCGAUGAUACGCGAGGAACCUUACCUGGGCUUAAAUGUAGAAUGACUUUGCUCGAAAGAGCUUUUUCCUUCGGGACAUUUUACAAGGUGCUGCAUGGUUGUCGUCAGCUCGUGCCGUGAGGUGUCGGGUUAAGUCCCAUAACGAGCGCAACCCCUAUCGUUAGUUGCCAGCACGUAGUGGUGGGGACUCUAACGAAACUGCCGGUGUAAACCGNGAGGAAGGUGGGGAUGGACGUCAAAUCAGCACGGGCCCUUAUGUCCAGGGGCUACACACGUGUUACAAUGGCCAGUACAAAGGGGCAGCUA
Molecule: ribosomal RNA, 462 nt
Filed under: uncultured bacterium
Lineage: Bacteria
Description: bacterial SSU rRNA
Rfam family: Bacterial small subunit ribosomal RNA
Source: RNAcentral